CCUCCUUCUGGUAAGAUCCUAUUAUAACGCUUACCUUUGUAUUAAUAUGCGUCCAUUCGGUGAUGUGUUUCAAACCUGUAUGUAAUAUGUCAUUCCUUUCUUUUGGGUUUAAACAAAACCAUUUGUAGCUACGUAGUAAGUUAACUAAUAAUUAUAGUCCUUGGUGAGUUAAAACAUCAAGGAAAGGAAUCAACAAAACCAGUAAUUUCUCACUUCAAAAUAUUUAUUACAUACAAAAUACAGAUACUUUAUACUCAAAUCCAUUUCCUUUACUAUUAUUUGGAGCAGUUUUUUUAGUAAUAUUGACAUUAAAACAUGAAGGAUACAAUUACAUCUAAGUAGUUCGAGCUAGGUUAGCUGGAACUUCAGUCGUGCAUUAAACGUAGUCACAUGCCCAUAGUAGUGUAUUGGGUAAAGCUAGAGCUUCAGGAGGGCGCAAAAGUUGGAAGGGCAGGCUGAUUGUCUUCCAUCCCAAACCCUCAGCAACUACUGCAUCAAAAUUCUGGCUCACCCAACUUCCAUCCAGCUGGAAUUUUUGCAGGUCCAGAUCUAUCCCCUUGUAAUAUCACACCCUGAAAAGAGUGCAUAAAAAUGAUCAAAAUUCCCUUGUUGGAUCUUACAAGCUGACUAAAGCAUAGCCCCUCAGGAUCCAGGACUUCAGCAAAUCAAAUCAAACCAACCUUCUCCCCCAAACAUUUACAUAUUCACAAGCCUAUUACCAUUUUCCCAAACGCACUACAUGUAAAGAUUUUCAAAUGGUGGACACUUCCUGGGUAACAUGUUGCUCAGUAUGCUUCAUUAACAAAACAUACCUUUUACCUCACAGAACAUUUAAGAAAAUGAUUCUAACAAAUAGCAAUUUUAAAUGUAGAAAGGAAAAUUAUUGGGCUAACAGCCUUAAGAAUGUUUUGCUGUUAUUUAACUCCAGUCUCAUGGGAUUUAAAGAGAAUAAGCUGAUGACAACACAAACUUUGAGUUUUUCAGACUCCAUACCCACCUUUCAAUUUAAAAGGGAAAAGAGUAUAGUUAAAACUCAGGAUUGUAGGCAGAUGGAUAGUUAUUACAACACCAAAAAUCAAUGAAUCUUUGACAUUACUUUUCAGAUUUCAAAAAAGAAGAAUUGUUAGAAAGAAAGGAUUUCCAGCAUUGUAGUGGUAAACCUUCAUAUAUGCGAAGCUCAGAUAUUUUGUAAUGGAGUAUAGUCCCAGACCUUCAAAUCGAAAGGUCUCAUAGAGCUGGGAAUAGAAAUUCAUCUUCAUUGCAUCACACCUGUUAACAUCCACUUGUUCUAAUACAACCAUAAACACCUCAGAAGUAUGUAAUUCUCACAUUCCCAAUCAACCAUUUUAUCAAUAAGAUUCUAAUAAUAAUUCUAAAACUAGUAACAGAUAGUUCAGAUUAGACAAUUAAUCAAGAAGAUUCUAAUAGUAGUUCUAGUAAGGAGGUCCUAGCAAAUACCACACAACUAACAACAACCAUAUUAGAUUAGUUUUGUGAAAGGGCACAUUUCUGCAAUACAUUACAAGUGUUUGGUUUGAAGUACUAUCACCCCCUUGAUAGUGAUAUUAAGUUAACUAAAAAGGAAAUUAACUAUAGAUUUCAAAAUCAAAAACAACUGCUUCAGUUAAAUCCAGUAAAAUCAUUUGAAAUGUAGCUUAACCAAGGAGGUUCUCCCUGUAAAAAAGGGUCUUAGCUCCACUACACCUCAUUCUAGUGGAUUGCAUCAUCACCAGCAAUUCAAUGAGAUAUAAUUCUUUGUUAAUCAAACAUAACAUCUUGUUUAAUGUUAAUCCAUUUUGAGCUCUAAAGCAAUAACGUAAUUGCAAAAACAUAUCAAGCUAAUAAGCUAUUAGCAAAUACAAAAACAUGAAUACCAAAUAAAUGGCUUCACACAUUUCCUAUCAAAAUAACUGCUCAUUACCAAACAAAAUAACUGCCACAUACAUAAGAUGACAUCUAAAUAGGAGACUUUUAACAAAAUAGGCUCAGACUUUUAAUAGCUCUAUCAAUCAAGAAUUUUCUGAAGCAGAACUGGCAUUAAAGCUAUGUUAUCAAUCAUCACAGCCAAUACAAUAAAUUAUAGAUUCAAAAUAAUAACAAAAAGUGCAUCUUCAAAUACAUAAAAUACGAACAUAAAGAUCAAAGUAGGCUCAUAUCAAGAAAUUCAACCAUUUUAUCCUUUAUGCUUCAUUGAUUACUCUCAGAAGCGCGGAUAAUCUAUAAUCAUAGCCAACAAUUUAGACUAUACAUAAUAUUAAAAUUUAACCUAUGGAAAUGUAGCGGAUGUAUUUAGAGGGGAAACAAAUAACGAAAAGUUAAACCUCCACGUUAACACCGCAGAGGAUUGAAUAUAUGCCUCCAUGACUAGACCUUUUUUCAGUAGUUGAGAUAAGAAAAAAAGCUAAAGGUGUGGUGAGGCAAAGCAUUAUUUAUGCAAUUAAUUGUAACAAGUACAUAUUUGAAAAUUUUUGGCGGUCGAUUUGACACAGAAAAGCCGUUGAAAGUUAGGUACGAAGGCUAAACUGCAACACUUGACGGCGAUAUUUAUAGCACGAGCAUUGGGGCUUUCUUCCUCAUCCAAAAACUGUUUCAGAGAAGCCCGGGGUGCUACGUGCAGAGGCUACUCAAAGUUACAAGUACAUAAAUUGAGAUAUACACAUGAAAAUCUAUAGAGAUAAAUAUCUUACGGGAAGUAAGCUACUCUCUAGAAGCCAUCAUUCUACACCCUAAUUAUCAAUAAUGGAGGCUACUACAACUACAAAUGUAUAUAAAAAGAAAGAGAGCCUUCGUUUAUAUAGAGAUAGCUAUACUUCCGAAACCCUAAAACGAAAUUUCUUACUUUUAGGAUUUGAUAAGCUGGACGGCCCAGCCAGUCACUUGCA
Molecule: long non-coding RNA, 2882 nt
Filed under: Panax ginseng (ginseng)
Lineage: Eukaryota; Viridiplantae; Streptophyta; Magnoliopsida; Apiales; Araliaceae
Description: long non-coding RNA (PGIN_LNC010593)
Source: RNAcentral